This 1505-nucleotide ribosomal RNA is filed under the name uncultured bacterium. Its description in RNAcentral is "bacterial SSU rRNA". It matches the Rfam family "Bacterial small subunit ribosomal RNA". The record is from RNAcentral.
UAGAGUUUGAUCCUGGCUCAGAUUGAACGCUGGCGGCAGGCUUAACACAUGCAAGUCGAGCGGUAACAGGGGGUGCUUGCACCCCGCUGACGAGCGGCGGACGGGUGAGUAAUGCAUAGGAAACUGCCCAGUAGUGGGGGAUAGCCCGGGGAAACCCGGAUUAAUACCGCGUACGCCCUUCGGGGGAAAGCAGGGGAUCUUCGGACCUUGCGCUAUUGGAUGUGCCUAUGUCGGAUUAGCUAGUUGGUGGGGUAAAGGCCUACCAAGGCGACGAUCCGUAGCUGGUCUGAGAGGAUGAUCAGCCACAUCGGGACUGAGACACGGCCCGAACUCCUACGGGAGGCAGCAGUGGGGAAUAUUGGACAAUGGGGGCAACCCUGAUCCAGCCAUGCCGCGUGUGUGAAGAAGGCUUUCGGGUUGUAAAGCACUUUCAGUGAGGAGGAAAAGUUGGUCGCUAAUACCGGCCAGCCUUGACGUUACUCACAGAAGAAGCACCGGCUAACUACGUGCCAGCAGCCGCGGUAAUACGUAGGGUGCGAGCGUUAAUCGGAAUUACUGGGCGUAAAGCGUGCGCAGGCGGUUUUAUAAGUCAGAUGUGAAAUCCCCGAGCUCAACUUGGGAACUGCGUUUGAAACUGUAAGACUAGAGUGUGUCAGAGGGGGGUAGAAUUCCACGUGUAGCAGUGAAAUGCGUAGAUAUGUGGAGGAAUACCAAUGGCGAAGGCAGCCCCCUGGGAUAACACUGACGCUCAUGCACGAAAGCGUGGGGAGCAAACAGGAUUAGAUACCCUGGUAGUCCACGCCCUAAACGAUGUCUACUAGUUGUUGGUGGAGUAAAAUCCAUGAGUAACGCAGCUAACGCGUGAAGUAGACCGCCUGCAGAGUACGGUCGCAAGAUUAAAACUCAAAGGAAUUGACGGAUGCCCGCACAAGCGGUGGAUUAUGUGGAUUAAUUCGAUGCAACGCGAAAAACCUUACCUGGCCUUGACAUGUACCGAAUUUAGCAGAGAUGCUUUAGUGCUCGUAAGAGAACGGUAACACAGGUGCUGCAUGGCUGUCGUCAGCUCGUGUCGUGAGAUGUUGGGUUAAGUCCCGCAACGAGCGCAACCCUUGCCAUUAAUUGCCAUCAUUUAGUUGGGCACUUUAAUGGGACUGCCGGUGACAAACCGGAGGAAGGUGGGGAUGACGUCAAGUCCUCAUGGCCCUUAUGGCCAGGGCUUCACACGUAAUACAAUGGACGGUACAGAGGGACGCCAACCCGCGAGGGGGAGCCAAUCCCAGAAAGCCGUUCGUAGUCCGGAUUGUUGUCUGCAACACGACAACAUGAAGUCGGAAUCGCUAGUAAUCGCGGAUCAGAAUGUCGCGGUGAAUACGUUCCCGGGCCUUGUACACACCGCCCGUCACACCAUGGGAGUGGGUUUUACCAGAAGUAGUUAGUCUGACCGCAAGGGGGACGAUUACCACGGUAGGAUUCAUGACUGGGGUGAAGUCGUAACAAGGUAACCA